Molecule: long non-coding RNA, 1692 nt
Filed under: Marmota monax (woodchuck)
Lineage: Eukaryota; Metazoa; Chordata; Mammalia; Rodentia; Sciuridae
Source: RNAcentral
UCCUGCUGUAUCAACGUAAACAAGUUGUUCGUCACCCUCCGGUUAUUUUGCUGCAGCCAGACUGCGGCAAGUGACAUCUCCUCAUCUGAAGGGAAGCACCUUCAAUGCUGAAAUGAAGUCCCCUCGAUGCUGAAACAAAGUCCCCCCAAAUCCUCUCAUGCUGAAUUGAAGUUCCCUCGGGCUGAAUUUGAGUCUAUGCAUUGCAGAAGUGGAUUCCCCUCAGUACUGAAGUGAUGUCCCCUCAAUGCUGAAGUGAAGUCCUCUCUCAUGUUGAAUGGAAGUCCCUCAAUGUGAAGUGAAGAUCCCUCAUGCUGAAUUGGAGUCCUCUCAAAGAUGACGUGGAUUCCCCUAAAUGCUUAAGUGAAAUCCCCUCAUCCUAAAGUGGAGUUCCCCCAUCCUGAAGGGAAGUCCUCUCAUGCUGUAGUGAAAUCUCCCAUGCUGAUGUAGAGUCUUCUCAAUGCUGAAAUAAAGUCCCCUCAAUGCUGACAUAGAAUCCCCUCAUUCUGAAUGGAAGACCCUUCACACUGAAGGUAAGUCCCCUUCUGCUUUCUGCUGAAGUGAAGUACUGUCAGUACUGAAGUGGAUUUCCCAUAAAUGCUGAAGAAAGAUCCUCAAUGCUGAAGUGAAUGAAGUGCCUUAAUGCUGAAGUGGAAUUUCUUUGAUGUUGAAAUAAAGUCCCCUCAUGCUGAAGUGAAGAACCCUAUGCUUAAGUCCUCUCAUGCUGAAGUGGAUUCCUCUCCAUGCUGAAGUGAAGUCCUCUCUUGCUGAACUGGAUUGCCCUCAUGCUUAAGGUAAAUCCCCUCAUGUUUAAGUUGAGUCUCUCAGAACUGAAGUGGAAUCUCCUUAAUGAUGAAGUCCCAUCAUGUUGAAGUUCCCUCUUGCUCAAGUGAAAUCACCUCACACCAGAUUGAAGUCACCUCAUUCUUAAGUAAGUCCCCUCAUGCUGAAGUGGAAUCCCCUCACCCUAAAGUGAAGUCCCCUCAGCUGCAGUGAACUCUCCUCAUGUUGAUCAAAGACCCCUCAUGCUGAAGUGAUAUCCACUCAAAGCUGAAAUUGAGUGCACUCAGUGCUGAAAUGGAUUCCCCUCAGUACUAAAGUGAUGUUCCCUCAAUGCUGCAGUGAAGUCCCCUUAUUCUGAAGAUUAAUUUCCUUGCUCAAGUGAAGUCCCCUCAUACUAAGGUGAAGUCCCUGCAUGCUGAAGAGGAAUCCUCUCAGGUUGACUUUGAGUCCCCUCAAUGCUGCUGUGGAAUCCCCUUAUGCUGUUUGUCUUUGAGUCUCCUCAUGCUGAUGUGAAGUACCCACAUGCUGAAGCAAAUUCCCUUCAAUGCUGAGGUGAAGUCCGCACUUGCUGAAGGGAAGUCCCCUCUUGGUGAAGUUAAGUCCCUUCAUGCUCAAGUGAAAUCCCCCCAAAUCCCUUUAUGCUUAAGUGCAAUGACCUCAUGCUGAAGUGAAUUCCCCUCAUGCUGAAGUGGAAUCCCCUCAGUGUUGAUGUGGACUCCCCUCAAUGCUGAAGCAAAGUCCCCUCUUGCUGGCAUGAAUUGCCCUCAUCCUCAAGUGGAAUCCUCUUUUACUGUAGUGGAAUCCCCUCAUGCUGAAGUGAUGUCCCCUCAUUCUGAAAUAAAGUCCCCUUAUGAUUAAAUGGUAUCCCCACACACUGAAGUGAAAUCCCCUCAAUGUUGCAGUGAAGUUCCU